RNAcentral lists this ribosomal RNA (273 nucleotides) under uncultured bacterium. RNAcentral describes it as "partial 16S ribosomal RNA". It matches the Rfam family "Bacterial small subunit ribosomal RNA", at positions 524 to 796 of the family's 1533-position model. The record is from RNAcentral.
UACGUAGGGUGCAAGCGUUAAUCGGAAUUACUGGGCGUAAAGCGUGCGCAGGCGGUUUUGUAAGCUAGAUGUGAAAUCCCCGAGCUUAACUUGGGAACUGCGUUUGGAACUGCAAGACUAGAGUGUGUCAGAGGGGGGUAGAAUUCCACGUGUAGCAGUGAAAUGCGUAGAGAUGUGGAGGAAUACCGAUGGCGAAGGCAGCCCCCUGGGAUAACACUGACGCUCAUGCACGAAAGCGUGGGGAGCAAACAGGAUUAGAUACCCCCGUAGUCC